AAGGGUUAACGGUGAAAACGACCGAGUAGUACAGUCUAAACCUCAGUCAACACUCCGGUCGAUGGAAGAAAGCCCCCGACACUGGGUAUUGCGGCGCAAAUAGAUCAAGUUACCUGCUGGGACAUGAAAUAUGCGUGGGAACAGUUACAGGCAGAAACAUAACAGAAACGGAAUGACGAAGGAAAAUGUCCUGGGAUACAGAGCAAGAUACUGAAGGAAACUUUCCACGUGGAUACGAGAUGCUGAAGAUAAAAAAAGCGAAAAAUGCUAUCGUAAAAACUUUAAAAUUAAUAUAUUUUAAACUGAUUGAUCUUAAUUUACAACCUUUUAUAGCUCAUAUCAGGGAGAGAUUGAGAGCUCGAUUACCAUCCACUGUCUGGGAAAUGAGCCCGCGCUCCUUGUCCAAACGGUGGAAAUAGAGUUUUGGAGGGAUGCAGGAGAUUGAUCAUGACGAAAAAAGAAAUUGGAUACGUCAUUCCGAGUUUGAAAGGAAGAAGGCACGAAGUUCCUCAUGGGACAGAAAGGCAAAUACAAAGCAAAUUUUUUUAAGCUUA
Pocillopora damicornis (cauliflower coral) is the source of this 554-nucleotide long non-coding RNA. The record is from RefSeq and is a predicted model, not a curated record. NCBI's taxonomy places the organism in Eukaryota, Metazoa, Cnidaria, Anthozoa, Scleractinia, Pocilloporidae.